This is a long non-coding RNA of Triticum aestivum (bread wheat), 2959 nucleotides long. RefSeq lists it as uncharacterized. The record is from RefSeq and is a predicted model, not a curated record. The transcript has 6 exons. Lineage: Eukaryota; Viridiplantae; Streptophyta; Magnoliopsida; Poales; Poaceae.
CGAAACGGCGCGUGCGGAAUGGAUAAGUGAUUAUUAUGAGGUGGGCCCGUUUUCAACCGACCGCCGCUGAAAAGUAAAAACAGAUCUCUCUUCUCCCCUUCGACCACCUCCUGAUACGAGAAGGCCAUGGAUAUGGAGAUCGCGACUACCGGCGACGAAGAAGUAGACUUCUUGUCGGAUCCAAUGGACAGAUUUCCCCUGCCGGAUCUGGCCGACGAAGAUCUGGUGCUCGCCCAUGGCAGAAGCCAAGCUGUAGUAUGCGAACCUGCUGAAUCCAUCAUUGGCGAAGCGGGGGACGCCGUACUAGCAGUGGAAAAUGACUUGAACAACACAUGUCAGGGGAUUGCCCUCUCUGCGCCAGCCUCCGAGCAAUCUACGGGGAAAGACGACCCUCAAGCCCCUGCCUGGGUGAGAAGAAUCCGUGUUGAGAGGAGUGCGCUGGAACUAACAAUACGAAGCUAUGCAGAAAAGAAAACUGAAACGGUCAUAGUUCCUGCUAUGGGAGGCAGUUUUGAUACGCUUGGGGAAGCUUAUGAUUACUACAAUCUAUAUUCAUGGGAGGUUGGGUUUGGUAUAAGAUAUGGGAAGAAACCUCUAAAUGUCGAAAGAACAAAAUGCAUGCAGGAGAUAGUUUGUGGCUGCUCCGAAAGCACUCGUUUCAUUUUCACUUGCACAUAUCUCUGCCUAGGUGGCAAUGCAUAAUUGCGAAAUUCAUAAACGUGAGACUCUUGUUCUGAUGAUUUCAGGGAAUUCCAAAGAAGGGUAACAAACGAACAUGCCGAUGCAGAUGCCCCGCAAUGAUACGAUUGCUCCGGUCAUCUGACAAUGGCUGGUACAUAACCUACUACAGAUCAGAUCACAACCAUGCUCUAACUGAAAGAUGUGGGGAGAAACCGAGAAAGUGUACUGGCCUUCCCACAAACAUACCGAUAUAUACACACGGGAUGUCAUUAAGCAACUCCGUGAAAAUAACAUCAGUGUCAUGAAAGUUUACAAUAUAAUUGGUAGCUUCUUCGGGUCAAUGACCAAUAUACCAUUCACCAAAAGAGCUCUCCGAGGUUUGUGUGGCAAGAUGAGUCGAGAACAAGCCGAUAAUGAUGUGAAAAAGACAAUGGAUGUUUUUGCAGAGUUGGGAGCAAAAGAUUCAGGCUUGUACUACAGGGUGCAACCUGAUGUUUUUGCAGAGUUGGGAGCAAAAGUUUCAGAGUUGAGCUUGUCGGCGGCCGAUUCGCAGCUAUCAACAGGAAAAGAUGACCCGCAAGCCCCCGGGUGGACAAAAAGGGUUCGUAUUGGACGAGCCCCUAUCGAGCGUGCACCUUGUGCUGGAAGAGUGUGUGCCCUUGAAAAAACAUUAAGUGGAUAUGCAGAGAACAAAACUGAUACCAUUGUGGUAUCAGUUGUUGGAUACAACUUCGAUUCAUUGGGAGAAGCAUACGACUUCUACAAUCUAUAUCCGUGGGAAAUUGGUUUCGGAAUAAGAUACGGAAAAAGCAGACUCAAUGUCGAGAGAACCAAAUAUAUGCAGGAGAUAGUGCGUGGAUUCUCGGUGAGUGGAAAUUAAAUUCAUUAUCUCAUUCGUUGGAAUUGCCCUGCCGCGCCAACCUCGAAGCAAUCUACAGGCAAAGACGACCCUCAAGCCUUUGGCUGGACAAAAAGUGUCUGAGUCGGGCAUGCACCCGAUGACAGCCCCCCAUGUGCUGCCAGGAUGAGUGCCCUGGAACAUUAAGAAGAUAUGCAGAAAAGAAAACUGAGACAGUCUGGUUUAUCAGCAGUACCUUCUUCAGAAAAAAUAACCAUCCCUGUGCAGUCUGAUUUAAUCCACUCUGAAUGCCGCACUGUUCGUAUCGGCCAGGCACCUAUCGAGCGUGCAUCCUGCCCUGGUAGAGUAUGUGCACUUGAAAAAACAUUGAGAGGAUACGCACAGAAGAAAAUUGAUACCGUUGUAGUAUCUACUAUCGGAAGCAGCUUUGAUUCGUUGGGAGAGGCAUACGGCUACUACAAUCUAUAUUCAUGGGAGGUUGGAUUCGGAAUAAGAUAUGGAAAGAGUAGGCUCAACGUCGAGAGAACCAAAUGUAUGCAGGAGAUAGUAUGUGGAUACUCGGGCUAACCAAAAAGAGGUAAUACACGGACAUGCCGCUGUGAGUGCCCUGCGAUGAUACAUUUGCUGCGAUCAAAUGACAAUGCUUGGUACAUAAGUGAGCACAGGCUAUCUCACAACCAUUCUUUGACAGGUAAGUGCGGUGAGAAGGUAUACUGGCCUUCCCAUAAACAUAUAGAUAUAUACACAAGACCUUGUGAGACAGCUUAGAGAGAACAAUAUCAGCAUCGGAAAAGGGUACAACAUAAUUGGUAGUUUCUUUGGGUCAAUGAGCAAUGUGCCUUUCAGCGGGCUUUGAGGGGUCGGUGUGGUAAGGACAGCCGGGAUCCGGCGGAUAAUGAUGUCCGAAAAACGAUGGAGAUUUAUAUUGUGGUCAACUGGAGCAAGCAGGAUGCAGUACCAUUACUUCGGAGAAACAAAAGCACGACAUGUCCACGGAGGGUUGACCUCCCUCGAAGAAAAGGAAAGAAGCCAAAUGCUCAAUCUGUGGAGUGGGAAAGCAUUGGAAGAACACCUGCAACAAUCCUAAGAUUGUGUUACAUCUUGCCGAGAAAGCUGCCCAUGAACGAGCUGUAGAAAUGUGAUUAAUCUGUAUAAGCAGCGAGUAUCGCGUUUAUCACUGAAUUUGCACUGUUUCCCCUUGUAUGAUGAGUGAUCAGUAGCCAACGGUGUGAAAUAAAUUAUGUAUUGUCAGCUUAGUAAUUGUGACAAUGUUUCCUCUUGUAUUUGUCUGAACCUCUGAAUUAUGUGGCUAUGUGUUGUUUAAAACUAACUCUCAUGUUACCUAUGUGUGCUGCUGAUGACAUGUUCCACUAUUGGCCAUGAGAGAGAUUUUGUUUUCUAUUCAUCUUUUCCCGAUGA